This 2664-nucleotide ribosomal RNA is filed under the name Triticum aestivum (bread wheat). Its description in RNAcentral is "partial small subunit ribosomal RNA". Lineage: Eukaryota; Viridiplantae; Streptophyta; Magnoliopsida; Poales; Poaceae. The record is from RNAcentral.
AUGGCUCCCCCCGAUGACGUUGCAGGUAACUCUGGUGAGAAUGAGGGGAGUAAGAAGGCUAAGAAGAAGAUUAAGAAGAAAGGCAAUCUAUGUGGCUUUAAGUCAAGGUUUAACUCAAAAAGGCUGGCUCAGAUUGGGAAGCAAAUAUCACCGGAAAAACAGAGAAUCAUAAGGGAGGGACCGUUUGGAGACUUGUUGGACAUCCGGUCUUUCAAGGUGCCCCAUGAGCUCAUUGAGUUUGUUGCGAUGAACACGAAUCACGUACUCUCUGAGUUCAAACACAAGAACAAAUCUAUCACCUUCAGCAAGCUUAUGGUGAAAAGGAUUUUCAACGUGCCAUCCGGUGAUAGACCCGUGAAGAUUCUAAAGAAGAGUGAUGAACAUGAUCUUCGCAACAUUUACAAGGAGGGGAACAGGGCUCCAAUCGCCCAUGUUGUCAAGUUGCUCACUAGUUGCAGUGAGGAGGACGUGGAUAUGAUAAAUAGGACUUGGGCACUCCUUGCGUUGGCAACAGUUUUGUGCCCAGGCACGGGCAAUAUGGUGAACCUUGAGUAUCUUGCUUCCUUGGAAGAUAUGUCUUUGGUGCAUGAGUUCGCUUGGGAUGAGCACUUGUUGGCACGAGCGAUGGAGGAGGUUGGAGUCUUUCAAGAGAAGAAGAGGAUGCAAGCAAACGCAGAAAAAGAGUUCCAGAUUGCUUCAUGCCUCCCCAUGUUAGCGAUCAUAUACAUGGAUCAUGUUGAUAUCCCGGCGGGCCUCCCAAAUGAGCAUGCUAUUGAUUAUUCCGUGCCGAGGAUACGUUUUGUUUGCCAAAAGGAUUUUGAGUGGCUGGAUAAAGUUGACAAGAACAAGCUCACUCUUAUCCAACCUUUCUACGGGAAACACACCCAUAUCCGGAGUUUGUGCAACACCCCCUAUGCAGCACAACUUGUGGGACAGGAAGUUGGUGCUGAAGCAGCUAGUGGGCAGGGAGGUGGUGCUGAAGCACCUAGUGGCCAAGGAAUUAGUGGCCAAGGAAGCCAAGUUCAAGGUGCUGAAAAUCAAGCAAAGAACUCUCAAUCAAACGAGGCUCAACAAAAUGUUGAUGCUGAACCACACCUAUCAUCAUCGCUGAACGAGUGGCUGCAGCAAUCAUUCCCUAGCAUGCAAGAUCUAAGGGUACCAACUCAGUUUCAAAUGCUUUACGACAAGCACAAGGGUAUUUUUGCAGCGGAGGUGGAUGAUGUUGUAGGCAAGUUUGGACAGUGUUUAAAGGGAUUGCAGUGCAGCCGGAUGGCUGCCCUCCUUCGCGAUGUUGGAGAUGCCGUCACAGCUACCAGUGAGCCCAACUUCUCCUUCGAAGCACCUAUCAUGGACGAAUGUCGCGGAAAAGAGAAUGAUGCUAAAGCUGCAAAUGAUGGCAUUGGUGCUCAAGCUCAAGCUGAAGGUACAACACCUAGCAUUAACAAGGAUGAAGUCACCGGAUUGAAGCAACAAGUAGCAACCGAGGCUGCUGAAACUCGUGAGCAACAAAUAGUGAGUUUUGAGAUGGAAGGGAACGUCUCACCUCACAGCCCCCCACUCUUCUAUGAUGCACCCAGGAGUGCGACAGCUGGCAUUUGGGACGACGAGCCAUCCUGUGAGUUGUUCCCAAAAGGCUCCGAAGACUACGAGAUGAUGCAUUGCACGGAUGAGCCUAUAACCAAGAAAAGCACAGUCAGCCCCAUAUUUGAAAACAUCCCCGUGUUCCCUGUUCCAGACGAUGAUGACAGCCCAACUCCUAAUAUGGUCGCUACAGAAGAGCAUUUUGUUGAGGCAAGCAGUGGCCCUAGCACACAUGACAAGAACACUAGGAAGAAGAGGAUGGCCAAAGUUCCAGCGGUAAAAAAUACCAAGGCAAAGAAGCAAAAGGUUGAUGCAGCUGCAGCCAUGUAUGAGAAGUAUGUAAAGCAUGGGAAACCAUUGAGGAGAUCACAUGCCAAUGAACAAGUGACACCUUUCAUCAAGAUGGGUGGAUUUUACAUUGGAUACAAGAAAUUCCUGGUAUGCUUCAAGCCUCGUGGGGAUAUGAAUGAUGAGGUUAUGUCCCUAUGCAUCGAGAUGAACAACAUGACAUCCCGUGCAGCAAGUGGUACGAAUCGGAAGAAAUACAUGUUCUCAGUCCACGCGGGGAUGCUACUAAAACAAGACCCAACAACCUUCCAACCAGCAAAACUCAUACCCGAGCUUGAAAGGGCUGUGACAAAGUUCAAGGCGAAUAAAUAUGACCUCCUUUUUUUCACAAUUGUUCAUGAUAAGCACUGGAUAAUUGUUUGCGCAAACUUGCUAUACAAGCAGUGGAAUGUAUUUGACUCAAUCCAUUCAAAAGGAAAACAAUCUCCUUUGAAGAAGCAAGCAAAUAACCUGAUCACAAACUUUGCAGCCCUCGCACAAGAGUACAGCCAAUUCAAUGUCGAUGUUGGAUCCUUCGCCCGUGUUGACCUAGAGGAUUACCCAAAGCAAGAUAACCUAUGUGAUUGUGGCUUUUUCGGGCUCAAAUAUGUGGAGAACUUUGAUGGGAAGUCAAUGAAAGAGUUCAAUCAGGAAGACGUGGCGCGAUACCGCAUGGAUGUGGUGCACAACCUUUGCACUCACCCAAUGAACAAUGCCCCAAUGGAGCGGGCAUUCAAUGAAGAGUUGGCGGCUUAA